This 333-nucleotide ribosomal RNA is filed under the name Triticum aestivum (bread wheat). RNAcentral's name for it is "partial small subunit ribosomal RNA". The record is from RNAcentral. Lineage: Eukaryota; Viridiplantae; Streptophyta; Magnoliopsida; Poales; Poaceae.
AUGGAGUUGAGUAAGACUCAAAACCCGACCACGACAGAAGAUAGUGAGAGAAUGAAAGUCAUUCCCUAUGCCUCAGCCAUAGGUUCUAUAAAGUAUGCCAUGUUUUAUACCAGACCUAUUGUGUACCUUGCCAUGAGUUUGGCAAGGGGGUACAAUAGUGAUCCAGGAGUAGAUCACUGGACAAUGGUUAAAAUUAUCCUUAGGUACCUAAAGAGGACUAAGGAAAUGUUUCUCGGUUAUGGAGGUGACAAAGAGUUCGUCGUAAAGGGUUAUGUCGAUGCAAGCUUGACACUGAUACGGAUGACUCUGAGUCUCAAUCUGCUUACAUAUUGA